This 506-nucleotide ribosomal RNA is filed under the name uncultured bacterium. RNAcentral describes it as "bacterial SSU rRNA". It matches the Rfam family "Bacterial small subunit ribosomal RNA", at positions 28 to 526 of the family's 1533-position model. The record is from RNAcentral.
GACGAACGCUGGCGGCGUGGAUUAGGCAUGCAAGUCGAACGGUAUCAUCCUUUCGGGGGUGAGAGAGUGGCGAACUGGUGAGUAACACGUAGGUUAUCUACCCUCAAGACGGGGACAACCCAGGGAAACUUGGGCUAAUACCGGAUGUGAGCAACUUUUAGUUGUUUGAAAGGUGGCGUAAGCUGUCGCUUGGGGACGAGCCUGCGUCCUAUUAGUUAGUUGGUGAGGUAACGGCUCACCUAGGCAAUGAUAGGUAGGCGGCCUUAACGGGUGGUCGCCCACACUGGGAUUGAGAUACGGCCCAGACUCCUACGGGAGGCAGCAGUCGAGAAUAGUCUACAAUGGUCGGAAGACUGAUAGUGCGACGCCGCGUGAACGAUGAAUCCCUUCGGGGUGUAAAGUUCUUUUAUAUGUGAGCAGUGCUUCUUAUAUUAACAGUAUGGGGAGAGAGAUAUUAGCAUAUGAAUAAGCAACGGCUAACUCCGUGCCAGCAGCCGCGGUAAUCU